UACAAUGACACUCUUCAGUGGCGGAUUUAGGCAUGGGUGCAGGGGUGUGCGCCGGCCCCUUUAUAAACUUUUUUUUUAAAUCAGCUGCAUCUUCCCUAAGAAUCCUACCACCAAACCUGCCUAAUACUCAGAGAUGCGAUUGGAGGUUGUAGUCAGAUGAUAUUUUUUUAUAACAAUCCUCCAACUGCAUCUCGGUUGUAAUUUAGGCGCCUUGGUGAGAGAGCUGUCAAGUAUGACUGAGUAAAAUCCUUUUGUCAGAAGGCAAACUAAAAUAAAAAUACCAAAAACGACCCUGAAACUGGUCUUCAAGUGUAAGGGAGUGAUCAGCAUUGAGUAAACCACCGAUACCAAAACUUGUUGAAGAACAAAAGGAAGGGUCAGAACAAAUUGAAAGGAUCAGCACAUGACUAGAUGUGAGCUUAAGAAUCACAAGAAGUGAACAGAUAAAGAAGACAGCAGAAGAAAGAUAAACUGAACAAAGAAGAAACAAGGCACCAAACUAGAGUAAAUCACAAGUGUUGCUAGAAGCAAAAUAAUCAUAUAAAACAGAGAACAGAAGCAGAACCAAAUAACACACUGUGUAAAAUUUGAGGAGUCACAGCCCACGCAGAAAACAGAAUAGACAAAGACUGCAGAGAAAUGAUGGACAGAAUGGGAAAAAGGGGAGAAGGAGAAGGAGAGACAGUACCUAGAAAGAAACAAGAACAAAUUCAGGAACAUUGGAGCUAAGAUCCCAUAGAGGAAAACAGUAGGUCAUAUGGUCACAUCUCCAAUAAGAAGUAAUAAAGGCAAAGCAAUGCACACCAAAGAAACAAUAAAAAGCUAGAAGACA
This is a long non-coding RNA of Protopterus annectens (West African lungfish), 832 nucleotides long. RefSeq lists it as uncharacterized. The record is from RefSeq and is a predicted model, not a curated record. NCBI's taxonomy places the organism in Eukaryota, Metazoa, Chordata, Ceratodontiformes, Protopteridae. The transcript has 2 exons.